Molecule: ribosomal RNA, 261 nt
Filed under: uncultured archaeon
Lineage: Archaea
Description: partial 16S ribosomal RNA
Rfam family: Archaeal small subunit ribosomal RNA
Source: RNAcentral
UAGCCGUAAACGAUACUCGCUAGGUGUCGGCCACGGUGCGACCGUUGUCGGUGCCGUAGGGAAGCCGUGAAGCGAGCCACCUGGGAAGUACGGCCACAAGGCUGAAACUUAAAGGAAUUGGCGGGGGAGCACAACAACGGGUGGAGCUUGCGGUUUAAUUGGAUUCAACGCCGGAAAUCUUACCGGGACCGACAGCAACAUGAAGGCCAAGCUGAAGACUUUGCCGGAUUAGCUGAGAGGUGGUGCAUGGCGUAGUCGUGU